Non-coding RNA from Salvelinus sp. IW2-2015, 1240 nucleotides. The record is from RefSeq and is a predicted model, not a curated record. NCBI's taxonomy places the organism in Eukaryota, Metazoa, Chordata, Actinopteri, Salmoniformes, Salmonidae.
AGCAGUGUGUUUGUGUUUUCCAUCCACUUCCCACGAAGCAUCCUACUGCGCACUCCACUGUGUAUUUGGAUCUAUCAGUGUACAGGAUCUCUCUUCCACGGCUGGACUGAGGACAUAAGGGAAGCAAUAUCACAGCGGCCUAUCCCAGGCAUCAAGGAAUAGUUGUCACGAUGAUAGUUACCAUGUUAACAGCUAUGUACAUGGUGGUCAGAGUAGUAGAAAAGAUAGGAGUGCUACUUGCACGCAGUGAUCCUCCGUUGCCUUUCAUGGUGCCCCAGGCUCUGCCCUGGCAGGUGCACCACGUGUCCCAAAAAAGGAGGAGCAGCGCAACAGCUGAGUGCGCCGGCCAGACGAGGAACAGCGUAGGAGUGUUCAGAAAGAGUGAGUCUGAGACCAAACAAUGUUGAAAAGAGUCAAAUGCGCACACCUAGAAAACAUUUCCCAGAUGCUGAAUCCGAGAGGGAAAAAAUGUAGAUCUAUUUUUUAAUUGGCACAUUGGUAUGCUGCUCCCACGGUGUUGAACAAAGGUAUGACUAGGUCUUCCUCAUUACAACCCAGAAACGGGUCCGAGACAUCCUUUUCUCUCUAAAACACUUCGGGUGCAGCAUACGAGUGUGCGGAUUCAUAUUUUUCUUAUCUAUGACACUCAGUCCACGGCAAUAUAUCUAUAAUAACGAAGUAUAAUCACCUACCCACAUAGAGGCUUGCUGAAAGGCUACAUCACUUCAUAACCCCUAACGUUAAAGACCCCUUGUGCCUUACUACUUAUGUACUUGCUACGUUGUUACACACAGUAAAUUCGGACAUCUUCCCCAAUGCAACGCUGGCUGUUGCUGUUGUCACUUUGACUGUGCCCUGUCUCCUGACGCGCAAUCGGAAAGACUCUGCGUGCAGCAACGGGUGUGCAGCGGCGCCCCUCAGCCCCACUCUGCCCGUGGAGAAAGCUGCCGCCACCAUUCAGAACCAGUUCAGGAAGUACCAGCAGAAGAAGAAGACCAAGUAGAACCGCACCACCGGACCUCUGCACGACAGACAGACGGACACAAAUACACAAACAGACAGACAGACAGAGUCCUCUCUACAAUGUAAAGAGCAGAGGCCCAAACAUGUAAUCUAACUCCAUUAGCCAUCUUUCAUAGCAUGUAUACCAAAGGAAAUAGUAUAGAUGGACUUUAUAUGAAGGACCAGUCAAAAGUUUGGACACACCUACUCAUUCAAGGGUUUUUCUUUAUUUUUUACU